UGGGGAAUAUUGGACAAUGGGCGAAAGCCUGAUCCAGCCAUGCCGCGUGAGUGACGAAGGCCUUAGAGUUGUAAAACUCUUUCGUCGGGGACGAUAAUGACGGUACCCGAAGAAGAAGCUCCGGCUAACUUCGUGCCAGCAGCCGCGGUAAUACGAAGGGAGCUAGCGUUGUUCGGAAUCACUGGGCGUAAAGGGCGCGUAGGCGGCAAUUCAAGUCAUCUGUGAAAUCUCCGGGCUUAACUCGGAACGGUCAGAUGAUACUGCUUUGCUAGAGUGCAGAAGGGGCAAUCGGAAUUCUUGGUGUAGCGGUGAAAUGCGUAGAUAUCAAGAGGAACACCUGAGGUGAAGACGGGUUGCUGGGCUGACACUGACGCUGAGGCGCGAAAGCCAGGGGAGCAAACGGGAUUAGAUACCCCGGUAGUCCCUGAGCGGGCUGGCAAGGCGCAU
This 447-nucleotide ribosomal RNA is filed under the name uncultured bacterium. Its description in RNAcentral is "bacterial SSU rRNA". It matches the Rfam family "Bacterial small subunit ribosomal RNA", at positions 355 to 825 of the family's 1533-position model. The record is from RNAcentral.